RNAcentral lists this ribosomal RNA (225 nucleotides) under Triticum aestivum (bread wheat). RNAcentral's name for it is "partial small subunit ribosomal RNA". The record is from RNAcentral. Lineage: Eukaryota; Viridiplantae; Streptophyta; Magnoliopsida; Poales; Poaceae.
AUGAAUUGCUUGGCCUGGAACUAUCGGGGACUGGGGUUGGACUCGACAGUAGGCGAACUUCAAGACUUGAUAAGGUCUUACAACCCAGCGGUGGUUUUUUUGUCGGAGACAAAGAAGAGUGACAGAGCUAUGGAGAAGCUUAAGUGGAGGUUGGGAUUUCGAAAUGGUGUGGCAGUGAGUUGUAACGAGAGAAGUGGUGGGCUUGCAUUAUGGUGGAGAGACCAU